Molecule: transfer RNA, 74 nt
Filed under: [Eubacterium] siraeum
Lineage: Bacteria; Bacillati; Bacillota; Clostridia; Eubacteriales; Oscillospiraceae
Also listed under: 1 other name
Description: tRNA-Gly
Rfam family: tRNA
About the family: Transfer RNA (tRNA) molecules are approximately 80 nucleotides in length.
Source: RNAcentral
GCAGAUAUAGUUUAAUGGCAAAAUGUUGGCUUCCCAAGCCGAAGUUGCGGGUUCGAUUCCCGUUAUCUGCUCCA